CUGUGAGGAUGAAGCUGUGUAAUGGGCUUCUGAACGUGGAAUUCCUAGUAAGAAUGAUUGAACAAGUUAUUUUGAAUGUGUCCCUGUCCUUUGUACACACCGCCCGUCGCUAUCUAAGAUGACGCAGUGGCACGAAGAUUGAGAGGUCUGAGUCUUUCGUGUUAGAUAAGAUAUAAGUCGUAACAUGGCUGCUGUUGAGAACCAGCAGCAGGAUCAGUA
This 219-nucleotide ribosomal RNA is filed under the name Encephalitozoon hellem. Its description in RNAcentral is "partial rRNA". It matches the Rfam family "Microsporidia small subunit ribosomal RNA", at positions 1092 to 1311 of the family's 1311-position model. The record is from RNAcentral. Lineage: Eukaryota; Fungi; Microsporidia; Unikaryonidae.